UUCCGGGCGGGCGGUCGCCUUGCUGCCGAAGUUUCCUUUCGUGUCGGUGACUUGAAAGUUCCUCGUGAACGAAUUAUGGAUCCAAGCUUACUGAGAGAGCGAGAGCUAUUCAAAAAGCGUGCCCUCUCCACACCCGCAGUAGAAAAACGUCCAGCGCCAUCUUCUGACUCCUCCUCUUCCAAAAAGAAGAAAGCAAAGGUAGAACAAGGUGGCUCAUCAAGCUCAAAACUAAACACAGAUCACAGCAAUGGAUCAUUUAACUUGAAAGCCCUUUCCGGAGGCUCUGGCUACAAGUUUGGAGUCCUUGCUAAAAUAGUGAAUUAUAUGAAGACUCGACAUCAGCGUGGUGAUACACAUCCAUUAACCCUAGAAGAGAUUUUGGAUGAAACACAGCAUUUAGAUAUUGGACUCAAACAGAAACAAUGGUUAAUGAGUGAGGCUCUAGUCAACAAUCCGAAAAUAGAAGUUGUAGAUGGGAAGUAUGCUUUCAAACCCAAGUACAACUUGAAAGAUAAAAAGGCUCUGCUCAGACUCUUGGACAAGCAUGACCAACGAGGGCUGGGAGGUAUCCUUUUAGAAGAUAUUGAGGAAGGGCUACCCAAUGCACAGAAAGCUAUAAAGGCUUUAGGGGACCAGAUCAUCUUUGUUAAUCGCCCUGAUAAGAAGAAAAUUCUCUUCUACAAUGACAAGAGCUGUCAGUUUACGGUGGAUGAAGAAUUUCAGAAGCUGUGGAGGAGCAUUCCCGUGGAUUCUAUGGAUGAGGAGAAAAUUGAAGAGUAUCUGAAACGACAGGGUAUUUCUUCCAUGCAAGAAACUGGACCAAAGAAAAUAGCUCCUAUUCAGAGGAGGAAGAAACCAGCUUCUCAGAAGAAACGUCGAUUUAAGACUCACAAUGACCACUUGGCUGGAGUAUUAAAAGAUUACUCCGAUGUCGUUCCUGGCAAACAGUGACGGGCUGAAUUCUGGAGUAAACGUGCAUUUUUAUACAGGCUUUUUGCCACUCGGGCUCAGUGUCUGCUCGCAGAAAGACUGACUGUAUAUAGUAAUGUGAUGUGUUUCCCCCAUCCCAGCAACUGCCGAGAUGAAACAGGUCAGCACAAGCAAUUCCUCUUGGAGCUUUUUAGUUUUCUGUUACAGCUCUGCUUUAAAGCACCCACGGUACACUUGCAAAACUAUUCACCUCUCUUCUGUCAUCUUCACUCAAAAAAAAAAAAAGGUUCCCUUCCAUCUGCUGCAUUUUUGAGCAGUGAUUUUUUGGGUGGUAGGACUCAGACAAAAGCAGAGCUCUUAGUGAGCUCUGAGUUUCCUUUCAUACCUUUGGGGUGUUUUAUGGGGUAACUUCCCAGUCAUCUUACCUAGCAUUACCUUUUCUCUAUGAACCAAAGCUUGCAAAGUGGACCAUAAGGUAGGCUACCUGUUUUGUUUCUCUGCUCAAGUAAUUAAGAUAAUAGGGGAUUCUAAAGAAAAUGCCUCCAGCUACUUUCAAAGAUGAAAAAUAUGUUAGGUCAGAAAAUAGGAGAGCAGGAAAGAAAGACUGACUGCUGGCUCUGCAUGCUGUGCUGGCAUUGUCAGGCUCCAAUGUUCAAAGAAACAAAACGAUCCAGUUGAUGUGCAGUUGGAAAGACUGGAUUAGAUGCUUUGUCUCACUGGAGAAAGUCUUCUCUGCUGUACUAGCAGAGAGGGCAUGAUGAGUUUUACAGAUUGUUAGGGUACAGACUCAAAAAUAGCUGAAGGGAUGCUCACACUGGCCUGUUAGAGGUGAUAUGGAAUAUCGACAAGCAGUCGUGAAGAAAACAAGUUCAGAAAAUAAGCAUGAGCUCCUCUCUUUUGUGUGGGUUUCAGGAGUUGGGUUUUGUUUCUCUGUCAAAGAUGCUCUCAGCAUUCCUUACGUUUUUUUUUCCAAGACCUCUUACAAAUCAAAUGGUACAACUUGAAAACGUCUCAGACUGUAUCAAUGGGAGUCUGUUUGUUGAAACCAUUUUAGUACCGCUCCAGUCCACUUCAGUCUCUUCACAGCAUAAUAUCCAAAUCAGGCUUUUCAAUGAAGUUCAGCAUAAGAGUUCACAGCUGUUAAAAUCUUAAACCUAAUUCCUCUUCUUCCAAGGUAUUCUCAUGUAUUUUGUGUCUGGCAAGAUGGUUCUCCCAGUGGCCAAAACCAUCAUGCUUUCAGUUCACUGUCUUUGGCAAAAUCCUUCUUCCCUCAGUCUGGCAGUGCCAAGGGCUGCUGAGAGGCAUCAUGCUCUCUCCAGGGGGCUGUGGGCCUCUUACUCCAUUUUUCUUUUCAUUCUCUGGAAGCAUCUGCGCUAACCAGGAGGAUAAGGGGACUCGGGCUGCCCUUGACAAAGACAGAACAUAGAAUAGAUUUCAGUUGGAAUGGACCUACAAUGAUCAUCUAUUCCAUGGCAGGCACCUUUGUUUCAUGCAUUUCAGGAAGGCUCUUUGGCAAACCCAUCUCAAUGCGGUAUUUACCUGUCCGAGCCAGGUGAGGACUGGCCGUUUCCACUCUCCUGAGGCUUCUCGGGUGAUGCAUGUUCCCUUAGCUCCGGGAUUCGGUGUGUCAGUCCUGACAGGGCUGUCGUUUGAGCCUUUCUAAUCUUCUGGGGUGGUGGAGGAAUGCAGGCACUGAUGAGCAGUUCUUCUGAUGCAGCAUCCUUCUCUUCUUGCCCUGCCCUAUCAGCCAGGAGCAGAGAGACAUCCAGCUCCCACCCCUGGUGAUGCUGAUGGACAUACAGACAGGGCUCUGGGGAAAAGACAAAUGCUCUUUCUCAGUGAUGAAAGCUCUCUGAGCUAUAUCUUAGCUGUCUUAGAUUAUCCUUUUGCUUGCACGAUUACAUCUUGAGCCUGUGGCUGUGAGGACAGUAUCUGCAGCGGUUGCUAGAGCUAUUCCCAAGAGAACACAGUUCUCGAGGUCUGCAAGCAGAGACAUGCACUCAGGCCUCUUGGAUGCUCAGUAUUACACUAGUUCAUCUUGUUGGGAGAGAGUUGUGCCAGUUUCACUGUGAUGAAACUGGAAGGAGGGAGCUGGUGGGGUAAGCAGGGUCACAUCACUGAUAGCUUUUCCUCUCUAGCUGGGUGUUGCUGGUCUAGGAUUUGCUUCUGAAAAGGUAACCUCAUAGGUUAUGUCAGCAAACAUGCCUGUGGGGAUGGGGGGCUGCACUGGCCCUUCAGGAGGAGCUCAUUAGGACUUCUUUGUGUCUAUGUGAAUGAGACCUUUUAUUUUGUCUGUUCCUCCUCACCCCCAAAAUAAAAGCACUCUUGUUUUUUGAAAGUACAAGCUGAAUAGCCCAUGGGUGUCACAUCUCUAAAGACAGAGCUCUACUGGCUUCUCUCCUGAAAGUUGCUCUAACUGAAGAGUUAUUCCACCUCCUCCUCGAUUACGAUGAUCAUUCUGGAAGGGGAUGGAAAACAGCAGGAUUUUGUAUGGUUGAAUGAGAAAACUGACAUAAGGCAGUGUGUACCAGAGCUAAUCUAUAAUUCAUCAUGAUCAUUCAAGGCUUUUAGAGAGCAGAGGAGAGAGAGGCAAAGGAGCCCUGACAAAUGGUAUAAAGACCCUGCACGUGGAUGUAGCCAGCGAGGGCUGUCACUUCUGAUGAGCAUGGGCAGGCGGUGCGGGGCCACCAGGGAGAGCUGGGCUCCCGGUACCUGCUGCUGAGGAGGGGCUUGCAUUUGCAGACGACUAGAAGCAACUCUGGUACUGACGUCUCAUUAUUUCCAGCUUGGUUGCUUGCUUUCCGGUCGCUGCUAAUGUACCAGGCCCAAAUUCCUUUGUGUGUUACUGCCUUGGGGGCCUCUGGCAGCUACUGCAUCUGGGGGAGAAUGUCCAGUAGAGUUGAGUGCUUAGUCUUGACUGGUUAAGACCAUCAAGGCUAACCACUAACAUCAGGGAGAGGAGAGUUCAGACCCCAUUCUGCUGGGUACUGGCUUUCCGGUGCUGGUAAAGUCAGGGAUAUGGCUGGAUUGUUGAGGCCUGCUGCCAAGUUAUCAGUAAGAGAGGGAUCAGACUGAAAACAGUGUUCCCAGCCACCUCAGGUAGCUGGCACUGCUACAGCCCUGCCCACUCUGGCUCUAGAGAUGCUUGCAGAAGGCAGUGUCAUGCCAGCUGAGAGCCCUGGGCCGGCAUUUUGUUGUAACGCAGAAGGCCAGGUGGUUUGGGGAUCAAUCUCCUCCCAGGGGAGAGAGGGGCUGCUUCUCGGGUCUGUUGUUCUGGCUCCAUAGGUGUGUUCCUAACCAUGUCUGUCU
RNA transcript from Athene cunicularia (burrowing owl), 4239 nucleotides. It is a transcript of the gene named general transcription factor IIE subunit 2, with no coding region annotated. The record is from RefSeq and is a predicted model, not a curated record. NCBI's taxonomy places the organism in Eukaryota, Metazoa, Chordata, Aves, Strigiformes, Strigidae. The transcript is spliced from 9 exons.